UUCCUUGGGCUCCUGUGAUUGGAGGAAGAGGCUUCUCGGAAGAGGACAGAGGGAGCCGGGAGCGGGGAGGAGAGGCCCAGGAGCCGCUGGCCAGCACCACCACCACUGCGGCAGGGCUGGUGGAGAAGCCGUGGAAAUGGAGGCACUGAAGCUCGGAGGCAUUAGGUAACUGCCCAUGCGCAUACAGCCAGAACACAGGGGCUUCAGCCCCAUCCUCACCUGGCUGCCCCACACCCACCGGCCUGGGAGACUCAGGCACCCCUCAGCAGAUGCCCUGGCGUACCGGGGAGGCUGGAGCAGGAACGGUGGCUUCCAGACCGCCAGGGAGGAGGACACGGGCAGCGGUGACCAGGCAGCUGAGGCAUCGCCACUGCAGGACACCCGGGCGCUGUCACCUGGGACACCUGCUCUUUCACACGGGGGCCACGUCCUUAAAAUGAACGAGCACAAGGGAAGCGUUUAUCGUCAAACUAAGGAAACACCUGAAAGCCCCCGUUCCAGGCCUGGAGCUGUGGGAGAUCCCGGGCCACCUGCGGGUCCUCAGGGACUCUCCACAGCAGUUCCAGUGACACUGGGUCAGAUUAUCCUUCGUGCCUGUGUCCUGUGUGCGUGCGUGCACGUGUGUCGUGGCCACUGUGGAUGUCGGUGCCACCCUAACCCACAGCCUCUCCCUCCUCAGGGUGACACCCCUCGGCAGGCAUCUCUCUGGGGGACUUCGUUGUCCAGGGCAGAGCUGCUGAGACCUCGAUCCCCCCGGGAGGAAGGGGACAGAUGGAGAGCCCAGGGCGGCAGGGCUUGGUUGGAAUCAAGGUGUCCACAAGAACUGGAACGUGCAGGAAAAUUUUUGCUAAAGGAUCCCGGAGGAAAAUCUAGUCUGUGGUAAAAGAAGCAACAAUUACAUUCCAGGUGUGGGGCGGGGGCUGCCCAAAUCGCACGUCCGGAGCUGGCCCCACAGGACUCAGGUCAGCCUCUGCCUCACCCGAGUGGGGGAAGGAGCCCCAAAUGGGUUGAUCGUGCCUGUCCUCCUGGCUGGUCUCUUUGGGCAGGACACACUGCUGUAGGACUCCCACGGACAGAGCUAAGCGCGAGCUUCCAACGCACGCAGGACACGGCUGAUCCCUAAUGGGAGACCAACUUCCCCAAGUCUAAUACUGAAAUGCUCAGACCCAAAUUUUACUUAUUUAUUUUAAACAGCAUCUUUUAAAUGCUCACAGAAAGGAAGAUGCUGUAAGGAAAACCAGACAAAUAUGAAAAUGAGUUAAUAGACUCAGAAAUGAAAGUAAUGUUGAAAUGUAAAGCCCAGUGGAAGGGAUACACAGGCCAUUAGAUACAGCCGAAGAGACAGUUAGUGAAUUGGAAAAUAGAUUUGAAGAAAUCAUUAGUCCAAUGUCCUACAGAGAAGAAAACAGGAGAAGAUAUGAGAUACAGCACUAGGAGUCCAUCUAGAAGUUCCAGAGAUCUUCAGAGAAUUGGGAGAGGUAAUAUUUAAUAAUAUGCUCAUUAGGGAUUUUUGGAAAUGAUUGUUUAAAAAAAGGUCUCUAAGUGGAGGAAAUGAAGAGAAACCCACAUCGCAAAACCUCUGUGACACUCAGAAACACAAAAGGAGCGAGCUAAAUGCAGAAUGGGAAAAGUUAGAUUAGCAGAGACUCCAGGAUGGAGCAGCAGGCGGGGACACUAUCCCGAGGGAGCCCCCAAGUGACUUGGGGGACGGGAGGACUUGGGGGAGCACGGAGGGGUGCAGGCCGCGCUGUUCAGGUUAGACUGGAUCUCCGAGUCUCCUCGGCUGGGCGGGGCAGUGUCCAACGGGGACAGGACGGGUGGCCCUGGGCAGGACGGCCAUUCCUCCCUGAGAAGGGGAGGGUGCGGGCGGGGAGCCAGGACACUGAGGGCCACGGCCCACCCCAGGCAGCCGGGGUGAGGGUGGGGAGGUGGAGGCCGGGGAGGGCAGGUGGGCCGGGCGGGUGCGGGGACCCAGGACAGGAGAGAAGCUGCGAGGCGGGUGAGGGGACCCCGGUUUGGGGGCAGGACCCGUCUGCCCUCUUCCCUGCCUAAGCAACGCCUUCUCCAUUCUUGCUAUGAAUUUCUCACCAAACAAGCUCCAUUAAUCGUCUAAUAACCGGAUUAAUUAAGAACGCUGAAAGUAAACAGCAAGAAGGUAAUUUGCAGCUGAUUACUGUGUAAUUGCGGGAGCAUGAGCUCAUUUGCAUAUGCAAAGGAGGCUCCAGGCUGGAGAAUCUCAAAGGAGGGAAGUCGUGGCCUCUGCCUCUCCGAGCUCCCCCCGAAGCCCGGAGGAGGCUUUCUGCAGCCGGCCGGCUCCCAGCUCCUGCCUGCUUCCCUUCCCAGGACUCGGCUCACAGCGAGCCAGGGCGCGCUUCGUAAACUCCAAAGCGCUGCUGGAGCGCGGGGCAGACGCUUGCUGUGCAUUAUUUUUCACCCGAGACCAAGAUGUGCUGAGUGCGCAUGCGUCAAAGCCCCCCAGCAGCCCCUGCUCCCUCGCAGGCCGCCACAUCCAGGCAGCCCUCCGGGAUCACCCAGAUACCGGGAGCUUGCUUUGUUCCUGGAAUGGUUUGCUCACUGCUGUAGGAAAACUGGCCCACAACUCCAGCUAAACCCAGCGUCCCGGGAGCAGGGAGGAAGGUGGGGGCAUAAAGGUCUCUCUUGCUCUGCUCACAAGGCUGGGCUCAGGCUGCACGGGGUGGGGGUGGGGGUCCCCCGUGCUGGGGCUCCCACCCGUCCCCAGUGCCUCAGACGCCAAAUUGUUUUCUGAUGGCGGCCUCGGUCUUCUCUGAACUCAAUUUGCGUUUUCAAAGCAGCUAAUAGACGCAUUAAAAAAUCCAUUUUCACUCUG
Cavia porcellus (domestic guinea pig) is the source of this 2848-nucleotide long non-coding RNA. RefSeq lists it as uncharacterized. The record is from RefSeq and is a predicted model, not a curated record. The transcript has 3 exons. NCBI's taxonomy places the organism in Eukaryota, Metazoa, Chordata, Mammalia, Rodentia, Caviidae.